RNAcentral lists this ribosomal RNA (253 nucleotides) under uncultured bacterium. RNAcentral's name for it is "partial 16S ribosomal RNA". It matches the Rfam family "Bacterial small subunit ribosomal RNA", at positions 524 to 776 of the family's 1533-position model. The record is from RNAcentral.
UACGGAGGGUGCGAGCGUUGUCCGGAUUUAUUGGGUUUAAAGGGUGCGUAGGCGGCCUUUUAAGUCCGGGGUGAAAGCCCGUUGCUUAACAACGGAACUGCCCUGGAUACUGGAAGGCUUGAGUACAGACGAGGUUGGCGGAAUGGACUGAGUAGCGGUGAAAUGCAUAGAUACAGUCCAGAACCCCGAUUGCGAAGGCAGCUGACUAGGCUGUUACUGACGCUGAGGCACGACAGCGUGGGGAGCGAACAGG